AGUGAACGCUGGCGGUAGGCCUAACACAUGCAAGUCGAACGGCAGCACAGUAAGAGCUUGCUCUUACGGGUGGCGAGUGGCGGACGGGUGAGGAAUACAUCGGAAUCUACUUUUUCGUGGGGGAUAACGUAGGGAAACUUACGCUAAUACCGCAUACGACCUACGGGUGAAAGCAGGGGAUCUUCGGACCUUGCGCGAUUGAAUGAGCCGAUGUCGGAUUAGCUAGUUGGCGGGGUAAAGGCCCACCAAGGCGACGAUCCGUAGCUGGUCUGAGAGGAUGAUCAGCCACACUGGAACGGAGACACGGUCCAGACUCCUACGGGAGGCAGCAGUGGGGAAUAUUGGACAAUAGGCGCAAGCCUGAUCCAGCCAUACCGCGUGGGUGAAGAAGGCCUUCGGGUUGUAAAGCCCUUUUGUUGGGAAAGAAAAGCAGCAGGUUAAUACCCCGCUGUUCUGACGGUACCCAAAGAAUAAGCACCGGCUAACUUCGUG
This 492-nucleotide ribosomal RNA is filed under the name uncultured bacterium. RNAcentral describes it as "partial 16S ribosomal RNA". It matches the Rfam family "Bacterial small subunit ribosomal RNA", at positions 29 to 507 of the family's 1533-position model. The record is from RNAcentral.